Molecule: long non-coding RNA, 296 nt
Filed under: Salvia miltiorrhiza (redroot sage)
Lineage: Eukaryota; Viridiplantae; Streptophyta; Magnoliopsida; Lamiales; Lamiaceae
Description: long non-coding RNA (SMIL_LNC005933)
Source: RNAcentral
AGCCAUCUGAUUCCAGCCAAAUCAGCACUAUUGGAGUUCAGAAGCGGAAUCCUAGAUCAAGUUCUCCUCCAUCUGAUUCCAGCCAAACCAGUACUAUUGGAGUUCAGAAGCGGAAUCCUAGAUCAAGUUCGCCUCCAUCUGAUUCCAGCCAAAUCAGCACUAUUGGAGUUCAGAAGCGGAAUCCUAGAUCAAGUUCGCCUCCAUCUGAUUCCAAGGAAAUCAGCAGCAUUAGGAUUCAGAAGCACAGUUCUCCAGCAACUUUGCCUCCAUCUGAAUCCAAGGAAAUUAGCACUAUU